CUGCUCGCCUGCUUGCCAGGUCCCCACACCUCCUGGCGUGCCCUGGAUCCGGCUGGUGGACGCUUCACAGGGGGAAAAAAUCUCUUUUGGCACGGCCCCAGGUGCUGAGCUGGGCCUGGGCUCUGCCUUAUCCCACAUUUUGGGGUCUCCCAAAAGGAGGGGAUGGCAGGGAAAGAGGGCUCAGCUGCUCUGAGCAGUUACUCCAGGAGUAAACUGUGAGUUGGGAAGGCAAAGCUCCUUUAGCAGGGUCAGAAUCUGGAGUGAAUGGUCCCAAAAAUCUGAAGUUCUGUGGUAAAUCCUCCUCCUGCUGAGCACCCUCAGCUCUCACUGAGUUCAGAAUUCCAGGGGUUUGUGUCCUGAAAUGCAGUCCCAGAGCCUGGGAACCAGGUGAGCUCUCCAGGGAAACAGAAUUCCUGGAAUUCUGUGGUAAAUCCUCGUCCUGCUGAGCACCCUCAGCUCUCACUGAGUUCAGAAUUCCAGGGGUUUCCAUGUCCUGAAAUGCAGUCCCAGAGCCUGGGAAACCAGGUGAGCUCUCCAGGGAAACAGAAUUCCUGGAAUUCUGUGGUAAAUCCUCCUCCUGCUGAGCACCCUCAGCUCUCACGGAGUUCAGAAUUCCAGGGGUUUCCAUGUCCUGAAAUGCAGUCCCAGAGCCUGGAAACCAGGUGAGCUUUGCAGGGAAACAGAAUUCCAGGAAUUCCCUGGAAUUGGGAAAUCUGUGAGAUCCCAGAGGCAGCAGUGGAGUCAGGAUCAGAGCUGGGGUUCAAACGGGCUUUAAACCCCUCUGCAAUUCCCAGGGUGGUUCCCAAGGGUUGGAAUUCUGCACCUGCCUCUUCCCAACAGGAAACCCCAGCAGAUCUCCCUGAAGACACAAAAAUUCCAUUUUUUUGUCCCCCCCAGCUCUGCUGGGAGCCUUUGGGAAGAGCUCCAGAAUUCCUGGUCCCUCUGGGGUUGGGAACUGGGGCACUGCUGCCUCCUCUGGCACCCCAAAUCUGCUUUUUUUGGCCUUUUUUUCACCCACCUCCUCCUGCAAUCCUGCCAGCAGCGUUGGAUUUUUUUGGGCAGCUGGAAUUUUUAGGGCAAGGAGUUUUUUUUUUUUAUUAUUUUGUGUGAGGGUUUGAGCACAAGAAUUGAACAUUUUUCAUUGUUUGUUUGCUUUCAAUGCUGGACUGGGUUGAUCCUCAGCUCCCACUGUGUGGGAGACGUGGAAUAUUUAUUUGCAAUUUCUUUUUUCUGAGCUCUGGGCUGGUUUUUUUUCCCCUUUAAGUUCCAGCUCAAGGAAGGAUUUAUUAAUAUAAAUUUAAUUUUUUGCAGCUUUUGAAAGAAAUGUUUUAAAAGUUCAGGGAGGAUUUAAAUGGGAAUUUAAGAGAUGGCCCAGCAAGCAGGGGGUUCAUUCACAGCAUAAAAUUUAAGCAGGAAUUCAGAUUUAAGCAGGAAUUCCUGAAUAUUUUAAACACAUAAAAUGGUGAAAUAUCCUAUAUCCAUCUACACAUGCGUCCAAAAGUGAUAAGAAAAGGAGAAAUUACAGAAAUUUUGAUUUAAAUCCAGAGGAAUCUGGUCCAGAAGCAAAUCCAGCAAUUCUUGUUCUGUCCUGCCUUUGGGAUGUGUUUUUAUUCCAAUUGCCAACAGGAUUGAGGGAAAAUUAAAAAUUCCCCUCAGUUCAGGGUUCAGUGUGUCCAGGGGGAGCUUUGUCCUGGAAUAAAACUGGUUUAAAAUCGGGCUGAAAUGAAACUCAAGGCUGGCUCCUGCCAGUUUUUCCUCCUGGGGGUGGAAUAAAUGUGUUUUUCCAGGUAAUUUCUGCUUUUUCACCCAUCACAGUCAGCACCUUCAGGGGAUUUCUGAGCUCUGUGUGGUUCCCUCCUGAAUUCUGGUGUGGCCUUGGCCUCUCCCAGGGGCUCCUUUGUGUAAAUCCAAGGAUUUGGGGGUCAUUCCGUGGAAUUUCUUGGCUCUCCAGGAAUUUUUUGCCCUCCCAAGGGGGGGAAUCCCAGCAGAAUUCCAGGUGAGAAUUCCCAACCCUGCGGAGAUCCCAGCCCCGCGCAGGCGGAGAGGAAACAUUCCCAACCAGCAGAAUUAAUUAAUUUGUUCGUUAAUCAGCACCCAGCCCUUCUGACUGAUGGGGAAAGGGUGGGAAUUGCUGGGCUGGGAAGUGGAGACAUCCCAAAAAACCCCAAAAACCUCCAGGACAAGGCACAAUUCCGAGCUGAAGACGAUUUGCUUUCCUCACCCUCCGGUACUUCCAGCCGGGAAUUUCCACGCUGGAAUUUUUGCUGAAGUUUUUGGGAAGAUCUGCCUGAAAUGCCAUGGUGGGGAGAUUGCCUGGACAUUCCACAGGAGUUUUGGGAAGGAAUUCUCAGCCUCCAGUGCCACUUUGGACCUUGGAUGAACCAAGAGAUCACAGCAGGAGGAGCCGAUCCCGGAGCGUCCGGCGGGAUGGGAGCUGCUUCCCACGGAGAUCCAGAGGGAUGGGAGAGCCUGGAGUGGCCACACCUGGAUUUGGGGGAGGGGGGCAGGAAGGGCUGGGUGGAAUUUGGGAAUUGAUGGUGUCGGCCUCCUCCAGCUCUGCUGGGUUCUUCCCUCUCCAGGAGUUUGGAUUUUCCCACUCCGAGGGUUUGGAUUCUUUACCUCACCAAGGGUUUGGAUCCUUCUCCCUGAGAAUGUUUGGAUUCUUUCUGCUCCAAGGGUUUGGAUUCUUCCCUCUCCAAGAGUUUGGAUUUUUCUGCUCCAAGGGUUUGGAUUUUUUUUUUCCUGCACCACGGGUUUGGAUCUUCCCUCUCCAAGGGUUUGGAUUCUUCCCUCUCCAAGGGUUUGGAUUCUUUGCCCUCCAAGAGUUUGGAUUUUUCUCAUUCCAAGGGUCUGGAUUCUUCCUGCUCCAAGGGUUUGGAUCCUUCUCGCUGAAAAUGUUUGGAUUUUCCCACUCCAACAGUUUGGAUUUUUCCAUUCCAAGGGUUUGGAUCCUUCCCUCUUCAGGGGUUUGGAUUUUCUCAUUCCAUGGGUUUGGAUUUUCCCAGUCCAAGAGUUUGGAUCCUUCCCUCUCCAAGGGUUUGAAUCUUCCCUCUCCAAGGGUUUGGAUUUUUCCAUUCCAAGGGUUUGGAUUUUUCCAUUCCAAGGGUUUGGAUUUUUUCAUUCCAAGGGUUUGGAUCCUUCCCACUCCAAGGGUUUGGGUCCUUCUCACUGAAAGGGUUUGGAUUUUCCCUCUCCAGGGUUUGGAUUUUCCCUCUCCAGGGUUGGGCUCUCCCAGCCCAGCAGCCCCAGGGCCUGUGGAGCUGCCCCUGUGCCCCUCCUGGGAUUUUGGGAUCAGGAUUUUGGGAUUUUGGGGUCAGGAGGCACCAGAACACCAGCACUGCCUCCCCUCCCCUCAGUGUAAUCCCAAAAUCCACAUCCUCUCUGGUGGACAUCCCAAAAUUCACAUUUUUACUCUCUCCAUUCUUCUCAGGUGUAAUCCCAAAAAUCACAUCCUCACUGCCUCCUCUCAGGUGUAAUCCCAAAAUCCACAUUUUCACUGCCCCCCUGAAGCUGUAAUCCCAAAAUUCCCAUUUUUCACUGCGUCUCCUCAGCUGUAAUCCCAAAAUUCCCAUUUUUCACUGCCCCCCCUCAGCUGUAAUCCCAAAAUUCACAGGUGUAAAUCCCAAAAUUCACAUUUUUACUCCCUCCAUUCCCCUGAUCUGCAAUCCCAAAAUUCCCAUUUUCCACUGCCCCCCUGAUCUGCAAUCCCAAAAUUCCCAUUUUCCACUGCCUCCCCGAGCUGCAAUCCCAAAAUUCCCGUUUUUCACUGCCCCCCUCAGGUGUAAUCCCAAAAUUCCCCAUUUUUCACUGCCCCCCUCAGGUGUAAUCCCAAAAUUCCCAUUUUCCACUGCUUCCUCUGAUCUGCAAUCCCAAAAUUCCCAUUUUCCACUGCCCCCCUGAUCUGCAAUCCCAAAAUUCCCAUUUUCCACUGCC
Serinus canaria (Common canary) is the source of this 3933-nucleotide RNA transcript. RefSeq lists it as uncharacterized. Lineage: Eukaryota; Metazoa; Chordata; Aves; Passeriformes; Fringillidae. The transcript has 2 exons. The record is from RefSeq and is a predicted model, not a curated record.